RNAcentral lists this ribosomal RNA (254 nucleotides) under uncultured bacterium. Its description in RNAcentral is "partial 16S ribosomal RNA". It matches the Rfam family "Bacterial small subunit ribosomal RNA", at positions 524 to 776 of the family's 1533-position model. The record is from RNAcentral.
UACGGGGGGGGCAAGCGUUGUUCGGAAUUACUGGGCGUAAAGGGCGCGUAGGCGGCCAGCACAAGUCAGUUGUGAAAUCUCCGAGCUUAACUCGGAAAGGUCAACUGAUACUGUGCGGCUAGAGUGCAGAAGGGGCAACUGGAAUUCUUGGUGUAGCGGUGAAAUGCGUAGAUAUCAGGAGGAACACCAAUGGCGAAGGCAGCUCGUUGGGACGGUACUGACGCUGAGACGCGAAAGCGUGGGGAGCAAACAGG